Paramuricea clavata is the source of this 251-nucleotide non-coding RNA. The record is from the annotation of a GenBank genome assembly. NCBI's taxonomy places the organism in Eukaryota, Metazoa, Cnidaria, Anthozoa, Malacalcyonacea, Plexauridae.
GUCCGAUGGCCUGUAACAUUGUCUUGAACUUUAGCCUGUAUUGAUAUUCAUUUCUGGAAUUAUUAGACACAUUAGAUAUAGAUAUUAUCUUUAUAAUAAUCCCCCUCUUCGUGUUGAGACGAUGCAACGGGAUCUUGUCAAAAUAUUUGUGUAAAUACUCAAUAGGGAGAUUAUUACAUUAGGGUUGCUUAUUAUAGAGAUGUUGGCUUUUAUAUAGAUUGCAACAAUAUGUAUAUAACAUUGUAUAUAAC